This 253-nucleotide ribosomal RNA is filed under the name uncultured bacterium. RNAcentral's name for it is "partial 16S ribosomal RNA". It matches the Rfam family "Bacterial small subunit ribosomal RNA", at positions 524 to 776 of the family's 1533-position model. The record is from RNAcentral.
GACGAACCGAGCGACCGUUAUUCGGAAUCACUGGGCUUAAAGAGCGCGCAGGCGGUCGUUCAAGUCGCGUGUGAAAGCCCCCGGCUCAACUGGGGAGGGUCACGCGAUACUGAUCGACUCGAAGGCAGGAGAGGGAAGUGGAAUUCCCGGUGUAGUGGUGAAAUGCGUAGAUAUCGGGAGGAACACCAGUGGCGAAGGCGACUUCCUGGCCUGUUCUUGACGCUGAGGCGCGAAAGCUAGGGUAGCAAACGGG